UAGGUGACAAGCGUUGUCCGGAUUUACUGGGUGUAAAGGGCGCGCAGGCGGGACAGCAAGUCAGAAGUGAAAUACCGAGGCUCAACCUCGGGGCUGCUUUUGAAACUGUUGUUCUUGAGUAUCGGAGAGGAAAGCGGAAUUCCCAGUGUAGCGGUGAAAUGCGUAGAUAUUGGGAGGAACACCAGUGGCGAAGGCGGCUUUCUGGACGACAACUGACGCUGAGGCGCGAAAGUGUGGGGAGCAAA
This 245-nucleotide ribosomal RNA is filed under the name uncultured bacterium. RNAcentral's name for it is "partial 16S ribosomal RNA". It matches the Rfam family "Bacterial small subunit ribosomal RNA", at positions 528 to 772 of the family's 1533-position model. The record is from RNAcentral.